AAUGAACGUUGGCGGCGUGGAUUAGGCAUGCAAGUCGAGCGAGAACCGUAGCAAUACGGGGACAGCGGCGAACGGUAGAGUAACGCGUGGAGUAUCUGCCCUUGGAUUCGGGAUAGCCGCGGGAAACUGCGGGUAAUACCGAAUAACGUCUCCGGACCAAAGGUGUGAUUCCGUCUGAGGAUGACUCCGCGUCCUACUAGCUUGUUGGUGAGGUAAUGGCUCACCAAGGCGACGAUGGGUACCGGGUGUGAGAGCAUGACCCGGCUCACUGGGACUGAGACACUGCCCAGACACCUACGGGUGGCAG
Molecule: ribosomal RNA, 307 nt
Filed under: uncultured Planctomycetota bacterium
Lineage: Bacteria; Pseudomonadati; Planctomycetota
Description: bacterial SSU rRNA
Rfam family: Bacterial small subunit ribosomal RNA
Source: RNAcentral